GACGAACGCUGGCGGCGUGCUUAACACAUGCAAGUCGAACGGAAAGGCCCUGCUUGCAGGGUACUCGAGUGGCGAACGGGUGAGUAACACGUGGGUGAUCUGCCCUGCACUUCGGGAUAAGCCUGGGAAACUGGGUCUAAUACCGGAUAGGAGCCAUUUUUAGUGUGAUGGUUGGAAAGUUUUUUCGGUGUAGGAUGAGCUCGCGGCCUAUCAGCUUGUUGGUGGGGUAAUGGCCUACCAAGGCGGCGACGGGUAGCCGGCCUGAGAGGGUGGACGGCCACAUUGGGACUGAGAUACGGCCCAGACUCCUACGGGAGGCAGCAGUGGGGAAUAUUGCACAAUGGGCGCAAGCCUGAUGCAGCGACGCCGCGUGGGGGAUGACGGCCUUCGGGUUGUAAGCUCCUUUCGCUAGGGACGAAGCUUUUUGUGACGGUACCUAGAGAAGAAGCACCGGCUAACUACGUG
RNAcentral lists this ribosomal RNA (465 nucleotides) under uncultured bacterium. Its description in RNAcentral is "partial 16S ribosomal RNA". It matches the Rfam family "Bacterial small subunit ribosomal RNA", at positions 28 to 507 of the family's 1533-position model. The record is from RNAcentral.